Molecule: long non-coding RNA, 1671 nt
Organism: Tyto alba (common barn owl)
Lineage: Eukaryota; Metazoa; Chordata; Aves; Strigiformes; Tytonidae
Exons: 3
Source: RefSeq, a predicted model, not a curated record
CUCUCACCGGAGUCCGCCGCGCCCGUAGAGACCGGCUCCCAGAGCGUCGCGCCAGCGGCGAAGCGGAAGCCCCGCGGCCACUUCCGCCAGAAAAAACGCCUUGCUGGAUUUUGCUGAUUUCACUGGGUUUUGGGUCCACUAGAGGGAGGUGUGCACAAAGCGUGCGUUGAUCUUGCUGUUAAACUGCAUCACUGCCAGCAAGAACAAGCACAGACUUAAGAAUAAUCGGAGUGCAUUUACUGCAGCAUAAUUCAAGGCCUGACUCAGCGUUCCUCAGUCCACGUCCAUGGGAUUUGUCCUCUUAGAUCACAACACUACCUCUGAAAGAAGCACAUCUCGGGAAGACGGGAGUCUGAGAGGGCUGGCACAAAAAAUGACAGUGGUUAAAUGCCAGAGCAGCAAUAGAAGUUUGGGAGAGUGAAAAAUGCAAAAGAACAGGAAGGAUGUAGUAGUAAGAAAUCAUGAAAGAAUACCAAGGGAAAAAGGUUCUGCUUGUAAACUCUGGGAUUCACAGCUGUGCUGCAGCUCCUUUACAAAACGGAGAUGAUGAAGGUGCAUUUUUGGGGCCCAGAGAAAGACUGUAGUAAGUUGGAAAAGGGAUAUAAAGAUGUCCCCUGUAGUCUGGUGUUUGAUGCAGGGACAACUGUGAAGCUGAACAUGUCAGAGCGUCAAAUUCUUUACAAAGCUUGAAAAGUGACUUUGUUUUUGUUCUGGCUGAUAAUGCUCAUAAUCCUCAAAUCCCCAAAAGGGAGGUUUUGUCUGCUCAAGAUGUACUGGAGGCCUUAGUUGUAUUGUAUUGUUGUAUGACUGAUGGUAUCUUUGUUCACUCUUUUUUCCCUGUUUUGUUUGGAUAGUUAAUGCUACUUCCCAGAGAGUCAGGAUGACAUUUUCCCGGUUGUUUUAAUUUUGAAUUAAACUUGAGGAGAGAAAGGAAAAAGUAAGGCCUGUUUCUGCUUAAAAGUUCCACUUAAAAGUAAGGCCUCUUUCUGCAGUAUUCUGAGGGUUCCUGUGUAGGGGUUCACUUUGGUCUGUUCACCAUAAGAUGAAUAGAUUACUGAUCCUUUUUUUUGGCUUUCUUGUCUAUGUUAAAUGAUUACAUAGACUGCAUGUAUGGAUUUUAAUUGCUACAACUAAAGCUUCAUCACCUUCAGUAAGCCUACUCUGCAGACCAUCACCCUAUAUUAUUUCCAACAAGCUGUGUUGCUUGUGGCUCUAGUUCUUUCAGAAUAUUUAACAAGUGCUUAAAUGUUGCUCCAUCAACUCACAUAUGUUUCUGGAUCAACUAGCAUAUUUAAAGGUUUAUUUUUAGGCAAAUGCUUAAGUUCUUGGAUGAACUGAAGACUUCAAAGGUUAGCCUGAGGUCAGUUAUUUUAUUUAGUCACUUUACACUGCAAAGAAACUGCUAUUUACUAUUGCUAUAUCAAAAUGAAAAUCCAGAGAAUGUGGCUCAAGUGAAGUAGGAUUAUCAGACAUGCACUGUCAUGAUAGCACGAGAAUUUUCCCUGUUAGUUUUGAUGUCUACCUGUUAAGGAAACAUUGUUUUCUCAUAGGAGAACAUAAUUCUGAUUUUUCAGAAACACACAGGGAGGAACUAUAUGACUUUAAAUUUAAAUUGCACACUGUUAUAUUAAGAUACUUUAGCUAGUAUCUUAAUAUGACAGAGUAAGGUUU